UGAGAGAGUUGGCAAUUAUCCGUGCUAAGAAUCCAACUCGCGGUUCAAAACGUGUGCGUGACGAAAGAUCUUCGGAGGACAAUCCCAUGAAUGGGUUGAUUUACUGGAUUAAGCUGGAUGACCCACUUCCUGUGUGUUAUGAGGUUCCGGUUUUGAUCAUAAGAGGAAAUCUCAUGACAGAAGGAGAACAGCAUUUCGUUUCCUGGGAUAGCGUCAACAUGCCUGUCGGUGAUAACAUCGUGCGGGCUUUCAGCAUGUUUUGUCAAUGCUUUGAUGUAUUUGGCAUUCCAUGCGCACCAAGCGACAAACAGUUUAUGAUGUUUUUCCGGGGAAUAAUCUUUUCUGUGGACAAAGUUUCCACAACCGGAGAAAAAUUCGUUAGAUCUCUAGAGGAGUAAGUGAAACCCAAUAAAAAUUCAUAUUUCAGCAUUGAAUAAAAAUAAGUAUUGUUAUGAGAUA
Molecule: long non-coding RNA, 459 nt
Organism: Armigeres subalbatus
Lineage: Eukaryota; Metazoa; Arthropoda; Insecta; Diptera; Culicidae
Exons: 2
Source: RefSeq, a predicted model, not a curated record